RNAcentral lists this ribosomal RNA (996 nucleotides) under Paracoccus sp. MT-B08. Its description in RNAcentral is "bacterial LSU rRNA". It matches the Rfam family "Bacterial large subunit ribosomal RNA", at positions 1918 to 2925 of the family's 2925-position model. The record is from RNAcentral. Lineage: Bacteria; Pseudomonadati; Pseudomonadota; Alphaproteobacteria; Rhodobacterales; Paracoccaceae.
CCCCGGUAAACGGCGGCCGUAACUAUAACGGUCCUAAGGUAGCGAAAUUCCUUGUCGGGUAAGUUCCGACCUGCACGAAUGGCGUAACGACUUCCCCGCUGUCUCAAAUGUGGACUCAGCGAAAUUGAACUGUCUGUGAAGAUGCAGACUUCCCGCGGUUAGACGGAAAGACCCCAUGCACCUUUACUAUAGCUUCGCACUGGCAUCAGGAUUGCGAUGUGCAGGAUAGGUGGUAGGCAUUGAAGCGGGGACGCCAGUUCCCGUGGAGCCAUCCUUGAGAUACCACCCUUCGCACUCUUGAUGUCUAACCGCGGCCCGUUAUCCGGGUCCGGGACCCUGCGUGGUGGGUAGUUUGACUGGGGCAGUCGCCUCCCAAAGAGUAACGGAGGCGCGCGAAGGUUGGCUCAGAGCGGUCGGAAAUCGCUCGUUGAGUGCAAUGGCAGAAGCCAGCCUGACUGCAAGACUGACAAGUCGAGCAGAGACGAAAGUCGGCCAUAGUGAUCCGGUGGUCCCGAGUGGAAGGGCCAUCGCUCAACGGAUAAAAGGUACGCUGGGGAUAACAGGCUGAUGAUGCCCAAGAGUCCAUAUCGACGGCAUCGUUUGGCACCUCGAUGUCGGCUCAUCUCAUCCUGGGGCUGGAGCAGGUCCCAAGGGUAUGGCUGUUCGCCAUUUAAAGAGGUACGUGAGCUGGGUUUAGAACGUCGUGAGACAGUUCGGUCCCUAUCUGCCGUGGGUGUAGGAUACUUGAGAGGAGUUGCCCCUAGUACGAGAGGACCGGGGUGAACGUUCCACUGGUGGACCAGUUGUCGUGCCAACGGCAGUGCUGGGUAGCUAUGAACGGACAGGAUAAACGCUGAAGGCAUCUAAGCGUGAAGCCCCCCUCAAAACAAGGUAUCCCUUGAGAGCCGUGGAAGACCACCACGUCGAUAGGCCGGAGAUGUAAGCGCAGCAAUGCGUUCAGUUGACCGGUACUAAUGGCUCGAUUGGCUUGAUUUG